This 222-nucleotide ribosomal RNA is filed under the name uncultured bacterium. Its description in RNAcentral is "partial 16S ribosomal RNA". It matches the Rfam family "Bacterial small subunit ribosomal RNA", at positions 109 to 334 of the family's 1533-position model. The record is from RNAcentral.
AGUAAUGUAUGGGGAUCUGCCCGAUAGAGGGGAAUAACUACUGGAAACGGUGGCUAAUACCGCAUAAUGUCUACGGACCAAAGCAGGGGCUCUUCGGACCUUGCACUAUCGGAUGAACCCAUAUGGGAUUAGCUAGUAGGUGGGGUAAAGGCUCACCUAGGCGACGAUCUCUAGCUGGUCUGAGAGGAUGAUCAACCACACUGGGACUGAGACACGGCCCAG